GCCACCACCAAAGCACAAGCCACCACAUGGACAUCUUUUGGCCGAGGAAGAAGUUGAGGACUCACACAAGGGAAAGGGAGAGAAGCCACCACCAAAACACAAGCCUCCGCAUGGACAUCUUUUAGCUGAAGAAAAAGUUGAGGACUCACACAAGGGAAAAGGAGAGAAGCCACCACCAAAACACAAGCCCCCGAAUGGACAUCUUUUAGCUGAAGAAGAAGUUGAUGACUCACACAAAGGAAAGGGAGAGAAGCCACCACCAAAGCACAAGCCACCACAUGGACAUCUUUUGGCCGAGGAAGAGGUCGAGGACUCAUACAAAGGAAAGGGAGAGAAACCACCACCAAAACACAAACCUCCACAUGGACAUCUUUUAGCCGAGGAAGAAGUUGAGGACUCACACAAGGGAAAGGGAGAGAAACCACCACCAAAACACAAGCCCCCACAUGGACAUCUUUUAGCCGAGGAAGAAGUUGAUGACUCGCACAAGGGAAAGGGAGAAAAGCCACCACCAAAACACAAGCCACCUCACGGGCACUUAUUAGUUGAAGAGGUUGAAGACUCACACAAGGGGAAAGGAGAAAAACCACCGCCAAAGCACAAACCACCUCAUGGACACCUUUUAGCUGAAGAGGCCAACGACUCUCACAAAGGAAAGGGAGAGAAGCCACCAUGCAAGUCUCCUCACAAACCCCCAUCAGCCAACUAAGUGCCUUACGCUAAUUUCGCUAGAUGCUUAAAAAUAAGAAACAGAAGUAGUUUACUCUUCUGUUGGUUUCUGUAUCUGCAUUUUUCACUGAAUUAGUAUUUGUACUUUGGCUUGUAUUAUAUGAGUACUACCCUCUAGUUGGCUGUUUUAUGUAGAUUAUGGUUUUAUGUUCUAGUGCUGCGCGUAUUAUUUCAGUUGACUUAACUUUUAUUUGCAAAAUAUACAGCAAGACAUGCACACAAUCCUAGUACGUAGUUUUGCCACAUGCAUAUAUUUGGUGGUAGGAUAUUGUCAACGACAACAACGUUUAAUUACUUUAACUUAAACACGUGCUGAUGAUUUUUUUUUUUGUAAAAGCCCUUUAUUAGUAAACUAGUAUUACUCUGACAUCAACAGAUAUACCAUAGGUUUUGUCUAAAACUUGAAGGUUUCUGUAGUUUAAUUUGGUAAGUAAAAUUUUUUGUGUGUAGCACAUAAUGAAUAUGUUACUUACAUGUGUAGAUUUAUAUUUUACAUUUUAUUUUAAUAUUAGAUAAUUAAUAUAUAUAUAUUUAAUUAUUUAAAUUUAUAUAUAUUACUAAUUUAUUAAUUUAGUCUAUAUAUAUAUAUGAUAUACAUUUAAGUUAAAUUAGGUAAGAAGUUAUUAAGUACUUCCAAAUUAAUAUGAAAUAAUUCUCUAAAGGAAAUGAAUCAACUCUUGGAAAAUGUCGGGAGAAAAGAUUUCAAAUUUCUGCAUGUCUCUGUUUCUGCUCAGUGGAUGUCUCUGUUUCUGCUUGCUGCCUAUGUUGCAAUAUUUAUUUGGCUUUUUAUUCCUGGUAAAUUUCUUAUUUUCCUCUUAAUUUUGACUAGGCCGGCUGAUUCGGGAGUAAGAUUUAAGUAGUUUUAUAUUUAAUGAAAAGUAGAAUUCUGAAGAAGCGAAAAUAAAUAUAAAAAGGGAUAAUUGGUGUUCUGAGUGAAUCAUUAUUAAACACAAAAUUAGUAUUACAAACAAAAUUGCAAUUAUCAAAAUGACAGUAUGCUCCACAGAUAGAUGAUUAUCUAAUCAGUACUUAUAAUUAGCCUAAAUUUAAUAGGAAUAGUACAGAAUUAAACUUUCUUUUUUAAAAAAAGGGUCAUUAAACUGAAUCAUAAGAACAGGAUAGAGAGUAUUUGUAAUCAAAGAAACAUAGAGAGAAUUCAAAGUAAUGCCCCCAGAUGAUAGCCCUGAACAAUAAAUAUUACUUAGAAAAACAAACUGCCAAGAGAAAUUAGUCAAUAAAAUUUAGAUUGAAUCACGAUAUUUAUAAACGAGUAGAUAAAUAUAUCUUUUUUAUUAAAAAAUAAUAUUGCAUAAUUCAUCUUAAUUUAUUUCAACUUUUACUCAUAAAAUGUGAUAUAUAAUAUAUUUAUAAAAUUAUUAAUAUUUUGAUAUUACUCUCUUAAUUAAUAAAUAAUUCCAUAAAAACAUCAUACACCAUAUUAUAUAAACAAUAGUUGGGACAAAUCAAAAUGAAAUGUUUAGCAUUUUUCUAGUUAAAACCUAUUCUACAAUUCAAACCAAAAAUAGCAGUCCAAGAAAGCAUAUCUUUCACUAAUAAUCCAAACAAAUCGCUAAUUCUAAACAACCACGUUUUGGUUAAAAGAUUAUUAAUUUAGUUUGUCUAAUAAUUCGAUCCUGAAUUUGCUGAGCCGCAGUAGGAUCUCGCUCGUAUAUACAAAUCCUGAAGAAGAUCACUAUAAAUUUCUGAUCCAAUAAUGAAACUUUGAAGUCCAUAAGUAGGUUUAGGAGAAAUUUAAAGGCAGAUUCAGUUUUAAUAUUAAAUUAUAAAUAAUAUCAAUUAUACAGUAAUAUAUAACAUUAUUUACUGAUUAUUACACUUAUAUCAGUUGAAUUCUAGCCAUAAAUAAUGAAUGGUAUGGAUAGUAGUACUUAAAAAGAAUAAUCUCCAUAUAUAUAUAAAUGCAUGGAAUUUAAUAACUUUCACACCUAUGAAAUUAUCCCACCUAAAACAGAAAACCUUAGUAUUAAAUUGAGAAUAAUGCAGAAAUAUAAAUAUUUGAAAUAAUUACAAAUAAUGCAGAAAUACAAGGACCGCAGGAAAACAGAGGCCACACACUCUUGGCUGGAAUGAUUUUCCUAUUUUUGCAUGCUCACCCAUUACUCUACUCUAUCGCAUUAUUAUUGUUCAAAACUUCACAACUUAACAAAUAUACUUCCAACACAUCACAUGCGUGACCCAUUAAUUAUUACAUGUGAACGUAAAAUGAGAAGUGGUGACAACAGCAGUGAUGUCACACUUUCUGAUAUUACUACAAUUCUUGGAUGACUUACCUUAAUUCCUUUCUGGUGCAUGUUGCAGUAAUUUAUUAGAAAUACAUAAGACCUUUUUUUUCUUCCUAUCUCUUUGUUUCAUUGUAGAAUAGUCCGAGACAACGAUAAUAUCUUACACUUAAUUUGUCUGUAAAUAUAUAUACACUUGACUUUACAUGCUAUAGUAUUAUUAACUAGUCACCUAGACAGAUUUGAAGUAGAUAAUAUUUAUCGAUAAAUUACUUUCUAGAUUUCUAUUUUAUGGUUACAUACAUCAAAAUUUCUGCAAAACAAGUGGAGAAUAGCCUAAUUUGGGGAUUCAAAGAAACUUUGAUGGCUUCUUUUUCUACUCGAAAUUAUACUAAAAAUAAUUCAUAAACAUGAAUGAUCCAAGGGUGGAGAGCAAGACUCUUAGCCAGUUUGUCAAAAAUUUUAACUCGAUGGGACCCAAUAGAUCUAAUUGGUUCGUAAGAGAGCCAAAUGUAUUCAACUUCACUACAUAGUGUACUAAUCUAUAGUAAAGGACAGGUGCAGUAUGACAUGGGUGGUGACGACAUAGUCCCACCGUCCACCCAUGCAAUAUUAUAAAAGGCAGAGCAAAGCUUCAAGUUUUGCACCAUCAACUGAACCCCAAAUAUGUCUUCUAAAUACUUGCUAGUGUUGUUCCUCCUCGGAGCAUUAGUGCUUCUCUUCACAACCCCCUCAUAUGCUGAUCAUCAUGAGCCCCUUAGAAAUAAAGGAGAGAAACCACCUCCAAAACAUAAACCACCACAUGUUCAUCUUCUAGCUGAAAAUAUAGAAGAUUUUCAUGGACAUGCAAAAGGUAAAAGAGACAAGCCACCACCUAAACAUAAACCACCACAUGGACAUCUUUUAGCUGAGGAAGUAGAUGAUUAUUCUACAUCUCCGGGAUGGAAACUACAUAAUCCUCCAUCAGAGCAUAAACCACCGCAUAAGCCUCCACAUGAGCAAAAGCCACUAAAUAGACGUCUUUUACAAGUAGAUAUUGAGGAUGCACAUAAAGAAAAGGGAGAGAAGCCACCACAUGGACAUCUUUUGGCCGAGGAAGUUAUGGAGGACUCGCCUAAGAAAAAGGGAGAGAAGCCACCACCAAAGCACAAGCCACCACAUGGACAUCUUUUGGCCGAGGAAGAGGUCGAGGACUCACACAAAGGGAAGGGAGAGAAGCCACCACCAAAGCACAAGCCACCACAUGGACAUCUUUUGGCCGAGGAAGAAGUUGAGGACUCACACAAGGGAAAGGGAGAGAAGCCACCACCAAAACACAAGCCCCCGCAUGGACAUCUUUUAGCUGAAGAAAAAGUUGAGGACUCACACAAGGGAAAAGGAGAGAAGCCACCACCAAAACACAAGCCCCCGCAUGGACACCUUUUAGCUGAAGAAGAAGUUGAUGAUUCGCACAAGGGAGAGGGAGAAAAGCCACCACCAAAACACAAGCCACCUCACGGGCACUUAUUAGUUGAAGAGGUUGAAGACUCACACAAGGGGAAAGGAGAAAAACCACCGCCCAAGCACAAACCACCUCAUGGACACCUUUUAACUGAAGAGAUCAACGACUCUUACAAAGGAAAGGGAGAGAAGCCAC
RNAcentral lists this long non-coding RNA (4605 nucleotides) under Ricinus communis (castor bean). RNAcentral's name for it is "long non-coding RNA (RCOM_LNC002739)". Lineage: Eukaryota; Viridiplantae; Streptophyta; Magnoliopsida; Malpighiales; Euphorbiaceae. The record is from RNAcentral.